This 484-nucleotide ribosomal RNA is filed under the name uncultured bacterium. RNAcentral describes it as "bacterial SSU rRNA". It matches the Rfam family "Bacterial small subunit ribosomal RNA", at positions 29 to 507 of the family's 1533-position model. The record is from RNAcentral.
AUUGAACGCUGGCGGCAUGCUUUACACAUGCAAGUCGAACGGUAACAGGGAGCUUGCUCCGCUGACGAGUGGCGAACGGGUGAGUAAUGCAUCGGAACGUACCCAGUCGUGGGGGAUAACGUAGCGAAAGUUACGCUAAUACCGCAUACGUCCUGAGGGAGAAAGCGGGGGACCGAAAGGCCUCGCGCGAUUGGAGCGGCCGAUGUCGGAUUAGCUAGUUGGUGGGGUAAAGGCCUACCAAGGCGACGAUCCGUAGCGGGUCUGAGAGGAUGAUCCGCCACACUGGGACUGAGACACGGCCCAGACUCCUACGGGAGGCAGCAGUGGGGAAUCUUGCGCAAUGGGCGAAAGCCUGACGCAGCAACGCCGCGUGCGGGAUGAAGGCCUUCGGGUUGUAAACCGCUUUCAGCAGGGACGAAAAGACUCUUUCUAAUAAAGAGGGUCCAUGACGGUACCGUAAGAAUAAGCACCGGCUAACUACGUG